AGGACGAACGCUGGCGGCGUGCUUAACACAUGCAAGUCGAGCGGAAAGGCCCUUCGGGGUACUCGAGCGGCGAACGGGUGAGUAACACGUGAGCAAUCUGCCCCUAGCUUCGGGAUAGCUCCGGGAAAACCGGAAUUAAUACCGAAUAUUACUACGGCCGACAUCGGCUGUGGUGGAAAGUUUUUCGGCUAGGGAUGAGCUCGCGGCCUAUCAGCUUGUUGGUGAGGUAACGGCUCACCAAGGCGACGACGGGUA
Molecule: ribosomal RNA, 255 nt
Filed under: uncultured bacterium
Lineage: Bacteria
Description: partial small subunit ribosomal RNA
Rfam family: Bacterial small subunit ribosomal RNA
Source: RNAcentral